RNAcentral lists this ribosomal RNA (403 nucleotides) under bacterium. Its description in RNAcentral is "partial 16S ribosomal RNA". It matches the Rfam family "Bacterial small subunit ribosomal RNA", at positions 355 to 776 of the family's 1533-position model. The record is from RNAcentral.
UGGGGAAUAUUGCACAAUGGGGGAAACCCUGAUGCAGCGACGCCGCGUGAACGAAGAAGGUAUUCGUAUCGUAAAGUUCUGUCCUAUGGGAAGAUAAUGACAGUACCAUAGAAGAAAGCUCCGGCUAAAUACGUGCCAGCAGCCGCGGUAAUACGUAUGGAGCGAGCGUUGUCCGGAAUUAUUGGGCGUAAAGGGUACGCAGGCGGUUUAAUAAGUCGAAUGUUAAAGAUCGGGGCUCAACCCCGUAAAGCAUUGGAAACUGAUAAACUUGAGUAGUGGAGAGGAAAGUGGAAUUCCUAGUGUAGUGGUGAAAUACGUAGAUAUUAGGAGGAAUACCAGUAGCGAAGGCGGCUUUCUGGACACAAACUGACGCUGAGGUACGAAAGCGUGGGGAGCAAACAGG